UCCUGUAAUGACAAAUGUCUUCAUUUAAUUUGUAGGUGUGUUUCACAGUUUACGAGCAACUUAAAGGCAUCCUUUCAAAUGGGGAUGGGGAUAGCCAGCUCUCAGUUGGUGCAAACAUGGUAGCUGCUGCUGGUUCUGGGGCUGCCACAUCCAUUGUUACAAAUCCAUUGUGGGUUGUGAAAACCAGACUCCAGACGCAAGGAAUGAGGCCAGGUGUGGUGCCUUACAAAAGCGUACUUUCUGCUUUGAGGCGGAUUAAACAAGAGGAAGGCAUGCUAGGCUUGUACAGUGGGAUUUUGCCUUCUUUGGCUGGGAUAAGUCAUGUUGCAAUUCAAUUUCCAGUUG
Long non-coding RNA from Populus euphratica (Euphrates poplar), 345 nucleotides. RefSeq lists it as uncharacterized. NCBI's taxonomy places the organism in Eukaryota, Viridiplantae, Streptophyta, Magnoliopsida, Malpighiales, Salicaceae. The record is from RefSeq and is a predicted model, not a curated record. The transcript has 4 exons.